GGAAGUAAAAGUCGUAACAAGGUUUCGUAGGUGAACCUGCGGAAGGAUCA
Molecule: ribosomal RNA, 50 nt
Filed under: Rhizopus arrhizus
Lineage: Eukaryota; Fungi; Mucoromycota; Mucoromycetes; Mucorales; Rhizopodaceae
Description: Rhizopus oryzae partial 18S ribosomal RNA
Source: RNAcentral